Long non-coding RNA from Macrobrachium nipponense, 639 nucleotides. RefSeq lists it as uncharacterized. The transcript is spliced from 4 exons. NCBI's taxonomy places the organism in Eukaryota, Metazoa, Arthropoda, Malacostraca, Decapoda, Palaemonidae. The record is from RefSeq and is a predicted model, not a curated record.
UAAGAUAACAGUGCAAGUGUUUGAAUGAGUGUUCAGAAUUGUAACCGAUCUAUCGUUAGCCUUUUCACAUGUAACAUGGUAAUAGCCUUCCAGGCAAGUGUUCAGUGCUCUGAACUUUAAUAACUGGUGCAGUAAUGCGUGGAAUUGCCACUCGUGAUAUAUUUUGGCCAUGUUGGCAAGGUAUUGCCUUGGCCUACGUAGCCUAACCUAGGCCACUACAGGGUGGCGGACGAUGACAGCAUUGUAGUAAUCUGGCUGUACAAUGUGGUGGAAACAGGAAUUUCUCUCCAAGCAUUAAUCUCGCACCGUCGAAAAUAUAAAAGUGUGUCCUGCCUCUAUGAAAAGGAAGUCCCCAGCGGAAUUCACAGGCAAAGCCCCAGCAACAUGCAAAUUAACAUCAAAGAGUUGGUGUCUGUACAUCAAGAUGUUGUUGGUCUGUCUGUGAAGGGAAGUAGCUGCUAAGGGAAUGAUGACAGAAAAAAAACAGAAAUAAGGAAAAAAAAAAAUGAAACCAGUUUUUUUGAGAAUUCAUUGGGAUCCGGCUGAAGUUUACAGUGACAUAGCAAGCGAGCCUUUGAGGAGAUGGCCAAUAUCGCCUCCUCAGGGCCGAGGCAUUUCAGCAUUGUUUGGCAUGGAGUG